This 200-nucleotide ribosomal RNA is filed under the name uncultured eukaryote. RNAcentral's name for it is "partial 18S ribosomal RNA". It matches the Rfam family "Eukaryotic small subunit ribosomal RNA", at positions 588 to 792 of the family's 1831-position model. The record is from RNAcentral.
GCUCCAAUAGCGUAUAUUUUUUGUUGUUGCAGUUAAAAAAGCUCGUAGUUGAAUUUCUGGUGGGAGAAUGCGGUGCAACUUAGUUGCUACUGGCAGCCUCCGGCCAUCCUUGGGUUUAGCCAUUCUGGCAUUAAGUUGUCGGGGUGGGGAUGCCAUCGUUUACUGUGAAAAAAUUAGAGUGUUCAAAGCAGACUUAUGUC